This 458-nucleotide ribosomal RNA is filed under the name uncultured bacterium. Its description in RNAcentral is "partial 16S ribosomal RNA". It matches the Rfam family "Bacterial small subunit ribosomal RNA", at positions 338 to 795 of the family's 1533-position model. The record is from RNAcentral.
CCUACGGGAGGCAGCAGUGAGGAAUAUUGGUCAAUGGGCGAGAGCCUGAACCAGCCAAGUCGCGUGAGGGAGUACUGCCCUAUGGGUUGUAAACCUCUUUUGUCGGGGAGCAAAAGCCGGACGUGUCCGGCUGUGAGAGUACCCGAAGACAAAGCAUCGGCUAACUCCGUGCCAGCAGCCGCGGUAAUAAGGAGGAUGCGAGCGUUAUCCGGAUUUAUUGGGUUUAAAGGGUGCGCAGGCGGAUUUUUAAGUCAGCGGUAAAAUCGUGGGGCUCAACCCCAUCCAGCCGUUGAAACUGGGGAUCUAGAGUGUGCGAGAGGUAUGCGGAAUGCGUGGUGUAGCGGUGAAAUGCAUAGAUAUCACGCAGAACCCCGAUUGCGAAGGCAGCAUACCGGUGCACAACUGACGCUCAGGCACGAAAGCGUGGGUAUCGAACAGGAUUAGAUACCCGUGUAGUC